CCUACGGGCGGCAGCAGUGGGGAAUAUUGCACAAUGGGGGAAACCCUGAUGCAGCGACGCCGCGUGAGUGAAGAAGUCAUUCGUUAUGUAAAGCUCUAUCAGCAGGGACGAAAAUGACGGUACCUGAGUAAGAAGCCCCGGCUAACUACGUGCCAGCAGCCGCGGUAAUACGUAGGGGGCGAGCGUUAUCCGGAUUUACUGGGUGUAAAGGGAGCGUAGACGGCAGUGUAAGUCUGGAGUGAAAGGCGCGGGCUCAACCCGCGGACUGCACUGGAAACUGGAAGGCUGGAGUGCAGGAGAGGGAAGUGGAAGUCCUAGUGUAGCGGUGAAAUGCGUAGAUAUUAGGAGGAACACCAGUGGCGAAGGCGACUCUCUGGACUGUAACUGACGUUGAGGCUCGAAAGCGUGGGGAGCAAACAGGAUUAGAUACCCGAGUAGUC
RNAcentral lists this ribosomal RNA (440 nucleotides) under uncultured bacterium. RNAcentral's name for it is "partial 16S ribosomal RNA". It matches the Rfam family "Bacterial small subunit ribosomal RNA", at positions 338 to 795 of the family's 1533-position model. The record is from RNAcentral.